UGCGUAGGCGGACUAAUAAGUCAGUGGUGAAAUCUUUCGGCUCAACCGGGAAACUGCUAUUGAUACUGUUAGUCUUGAGUUCGGUUGAGGUAGGCGGAAUGUGUAAUGUAGCGGUGAAAUGCUUAGAUAUUACACAGAACACCAAUUGCGUAGGCAGCUUACUAGACCGACACUGACGCUGAGGCACGAAAGCGUGGGGAGCGAACAGGAUUAGAUACCCUGGUAGUCC
This 229-nucleotide ribosomal RNA is filed under the name uncultured bacterium. RNAcentral's name for it is "partial 16S ribosomal RNA". It matches the Rfam family "Bacterial small subunit ribosomal RNA", at positions 568 to 796 of the family's 1533-position model. The record is from RNAcentral.